RNA transcript from Anoplopoma fimbria (sablefish), 305 nucleotides. It is a transcript of the gene named zinc finger protein 706-like, with no coding region annotated. The record is from RefSeq and is a predicted model, not a curated record. The transcript is spliced from 2 exons. Lineage: Eukaryota; Metazoa; Chordata; Actinopteri; Perciformes; Anoplopomatidae.
GGAAACCUUUUUUUGCACGUUCCUUUCAUAUGCUUACCUCCAACACUGUCUGUGUUCUCUGCAGAAUUGCUCUGUUUUUCAGUUUUUCUCUGUGGUGUCAGCGAUUGAGUUUUAGACAACAUCAGGGAUUAAUAUGAGCUGAUACUAAGUCAUGCUUCACUUGCUCACUACAUUUUUUUGAAUAAACGCUCACCAGGAAAGGUGGCUCGCUACAUGUAUGUCACUUACACAAAUGCCUGACCCGAAGACCUUUAAGCAGCACUUUGAAAGCAAACAUCCAAAGUCCUCAAUGCCCCCGGAGUUGG